UACGUAGGGUGCGAGCGUUGUCCGGAAUUAUUGGGCGUAAAGAGCUCGUAGGCGGUUUGUCGCGUCUGCUGUGAAAACUGGAGGCUCAACCUCCAGCCUGCAGUGGGUACGGGCAAACUAGAGUGCGGUAGGGGAGAUUGGAAUUCCUGGUGUAGCGGUGGAAUGCGCAGAUAUCAGGAGGAACACCGAUGGCGAAGGCAGAUCUCUGGGCCGUAACUGACGCUGAGGAGCGAAAGCAUGGGGAGCGAACAGG
This 253-nucleotide ribosomal RNA is filed under the name uncultured bacterium. RNAcentral describes it as "partial 16S ribosomal RNA". It matches the Rfam family "Bacterial small subunit ribosomal RNA", at positions 524 to 776 of the family's 1533-position model. The record is from RNAcentral.